AGGCUGCGAAAGCGUUUUUCGCCGUCUUUACCUCCCUGUUGGACUGGCCGGGCUUUUAGCCCGGCCUUUUUU
This 72-nucleotide non-coding RNA is filed under the name Oceaniovalibus guishaninsula JLT2003. Its description in RNAcentral is "Singlet oxygen resistance RNA X". It matches the Rfam family "Singlet oxygen resistance RNA X". From Rfam's summary of the family: SorX (RSs2461)like SorY is a singlet oxygen induced sRNA that counteracts oxidative stress by targeting mRNA for a transporter in Rhodobacter. The record is from Rfam by way of RNAcentral. Lineage: Bacteria; Pseudomonadati; Pseudomonadota; Alphaproteobacteria; Rhodobacterales; Roseobacteraceae.